CGAAGGUGGGGCUAAUGACUGGGGUGAAGUCGUAACAAGGUAGCCGUACCGGAAGGUGCGGCUGGAUCACCUCCUAACAGGGAGACAACAAAAUGUUUAAUAUUAUUAUUUUGUCACCUUAGGUCGAUCGGUAUCUCACGUCCUUAAUUUAUUAAGGAUUUCCUUUCCUAAGUUUUUCUAGGUCACACCCAUUAUUUUUCCUGGGCCAUUAGCUCAGGUGGUUAGAGCGCACCCCUGAUAAGGGUGAGGUCCCUGGUUCAAGUCCAGGAUGGCCCAUAUCUCUAUGUUGGGGGUAUAGCUCAGUUGGUAGAGCGCCUGCUUUGCAAGCAGGAUGUCAGCGGUUCGAGUCCGCUUACCUCCACUGAUCACCACCUCUACCAUAAUUUGUAGAAAGGAAAUUUUUUGAGUUGUGAUCAAAUUCUGAACGAAUCUAGCUUCCUAGUGAAACAUUAAGAUGCUGGACUCAUUGAAUUUAUUUCAUUGUUUUCAGAGAACCUUGACAACUGCAUAGAUUAUUUUUAAAGACAAUAAGCAUCUUUAUGAUGCAGAUUUAUUAUUUGUGCGAAUGCAUUAAUAACAAUUCUAUUAAGCUGAUGCUUCAAUUAUUGAAGUUAUUGGUCAAGCUACAAAGGGCUCACGGAGGAUACCUAGGCACACAGAGGCGAU
This 666-nucleotide unclassified non-coding RNA is filed under the name uncultured Prochlorococcus sp. RNAcentral describes it as "partial may contain 16S ribosomal RNA, 16S-23S ribosomal RNA intergenic spacer, and 23S ribosomal RNA". The stretch from base 289 to 361 matches the Rfam family "tRNA". Lineage: Bacteria; Bacillati; Cyanobacteriota; Cyanophyceae; Synechococcales; Prochlorococcaceae. The record is from RNAcentral.